GGGACACGUGGUAUCCUGUCUGAAUAUGGGGGGACCAUCCUCCAAGGCUAAAUACUCCUGACUGACCGAUAGUGAACCAGUACCGUGAGGGAAAGGCGAAAAGAACCCCGGCGAGGGGAGUGAAAAAGAACCUGAAACCGUGUACGUACAAGCAGUGGGAGCCUCUUAAUGGGGUGACUGCGUACCUUUUGUAUAAUGGGUCAGCGACUUAUAUUCUGUAGCAAGGUUAACCGAAUAGGGGAGCCGAAGGGAAACCGAGUCUUAACUGGGCGUUAAGUUGCAGGGUAUAGACCCGAAACCCGGUGAUCUAGCCAUGGGCAGGUUGAAGGUUGGGUAACACUAACUGGAGGACCGAACCGACUAAUGUUGAAAAAUUAGCGGAUGACUUGUGGCUGGGGGUGAAAGGCCAAUCAAACCGGGAGAUAGCUGGUUCUCCCCGAAAGCUAUUUAGGUAGCGCCUCGUGAAUUCAUCUCCGGGGGUAGAGCACUGUUUCGGCAAGGGGGUCAUCCCGACUUACCAACCCGAUGCAAACUGCGAAUACCGGAGAAUGUUAUCACGGGAGACACACGGCGGGUGCUAACGUCCGUCGUGAAGAGGGAAACAACCCAGACCGCCAGCUAAGGUCCCAAAGUCAUGGUUAAGUGGGAAACGAUGUGGGAAGGCCCAGACAGCCAGGAUGUUGGCUUAGAAGCAGCCAUCAUUUAAAGAAAGCGUAAUAGCUCACUGGUCGAGUCGGCCUGCGCGGAAGAUGUAACGGGGCUAAACCAUGCACCGAAGCUGCGGCAGCGACACUAUGUGUUGUUGGGUAGGGGAGCGUUCUGUAAGCCUGUGAAGGUGGCCUGUGAGGGUUGCUGGAGGUAUCAGAAGUGCGAAUGCUGACAUAAGUAACGAUAAAGCGGGUGAAAAGCCCGCUCGCCGGAAGACCAAGGGUUCCUGUCCAACGUUAAUCGGGGCAGGGUGAGUCGACCCCUAAGGCGAGGCCGAAAGGCGUAGUCGAUGGGAAACAGGUUAAUAUUCCUGUACUUGGUGUUACU
Molecule: ribosomal RNA, 1035 nt
Filed under: Escherichia coli
Lineage: Bacteria; Pseudomonadati; Pseudomonadota; Gammaproteobacteria; Enterobacterales; Enterobacteriaceae
Description: partial 23S ribosomal RNA
Rfam family: Bacterial large subunit ribosomal RNA
Source: RNAcentral